Long non-coding RNA from Ipomoea nil (Japanese morning glory), 687 nucleotides. RefSeq lists it as uncharacterized. Lineage: Eukaryota; Viridiplantae; Streptophyta; Magnoliopsida; Solanales; Convolvulaceae. The record is from RefSeq and is a predicted model, not a curated record. The transcript has 3 exons.
UGGCCUUCAACCUUGCUUGAACAAUAGCCGCACAUCACCACCUUUGGCCUCACCUUCCGUCGACGGUUUCAGCAGCAAGGGGGGGUGGGGGGUCGACGACUCCUUCUUCCCUCGGCAGUAGCGGCAAGCUAACUAGGACGGCAAGCCGGCAAGUUGUAGCUUUGGCAGAGUACGGCGGCGGGUCCGGCGGACGGUAGACGCAGGAGCUCCUCGGCAAGGUGGCAGUUCUGGCGACCCUAUCCUCCUUCUCUCGUUGACGACAGCGGCUCCAUCCUCCUCGGCUUUUCCGGCGACCUUGGCAGCAGCUUGGACUUUGAACAGAGCCCUCGGCGCUCCCUUUUUCCCUGGAGAAACAGAACAACGACGGCAGUGGAGGAUCCUUCCCUUCUCCGGCGGCAAUCGCAGUUCUCCUAGAAGAGGCAGGCAGCGGGCAGAACCGCUUGUGGUGGUGUUGCCGUGGUUCCACCCACGGCUUCGGGUUGCAUGAUGAAGAAGAUGAUGAGGAUUCCUUUUUUAUAGAUUAGCUUAUGAGUUGAGCCUAGCCUAAAACUGGUGUUGGUUUUGGAUUGCUAAGCUAAGGAGGUGUAAAGUAGUUGAGCCUCUUGUAGAUUGUUGGAAAGUGUUUUGUAAAGCCUGUGCAACUAGGUUGGGAACUUAGUUGUGGCAUAGCAUAUUAGCAUCCCUAAG